CGUCUCCAUCGUAUUUCAGGUGCCAAAGACGGUGCAGUGCUGAAGCUGAAGAUGUUUUUGCUGAUUUAGUCCUUUCAGAAAGAGCUCUUCACCUGUGAAGGACACACAAAGAACAGUUUUGUAUUUUCUCGAUCUACUUUUUUUAUUUUUAAUAAACUUUUAGUGCAACCAUUUUAGAUUUACAGAAAGGUUGCAAAGAUAGCGCAGAGAGUUCUCAUAUAUCCUGUAACCAGUUUCCCGGUUGGUUCAACAUCUAACAUUACUACGGUUCCCAUCCAGGGUACCACGUUUUUGAAUGGCCUUGACAAUUUCAGGAGUACUGAUCAGAGCUGGAAUCUACUCCCGGUGAGGACGCUGUGAGCAUUGUUGAAAUGACAGCAGAGGAUUUAGACUAUUAUAUAAACUUAGUUGAUAAACCAGAAGCAGGGUU
Molecule: long non-coding RNA, 430 nt
Organism: Lemur catta (Ring-tailed lemur)
Lineage: Eukaryota; Metazoa; Chordata; Mammalia; Primates; Lemuridae
Exons: 3
Source: RefSeq, a predicted model, not a curated record